UUGAACGCUGGCGGCAUGCUUUACACAUGCCAGUCGAACGGUAACAGGCCUUCGGGUGCUGACGAGUGGCGACCGGGUGAGUAAUGCAUCGGAACGUGCCCAGAGGUGGGGGAUAACGCAGCGAAAGCUGUGCUAAUACCGCAUGUGAUCUGAGGAUGAAAGCGGGGGACCAAGCAGCAAUGUUUGGCCUCGCGCCUCUGGAGCGGCCGAUGUCAGAUUAGGUAGUUGGUGGGGUAAAGGCCUACCAAGCCGACGAUCUGUAGCUGGUCUGAGAGGACGACAAGCCACACUGGGACUGAGACACGGCCCAGACUCCUACGGGAGGCAGCAGUGGGGAAUUUUGGACAAUGGGCGCAAGCCUGAUCCAGCAAUGCCGCGUGCGGGAAGAAGGCCUUCGGGUUGUAAACCGCUUUUGUACGGAACGAAAAGGCUCUGGCUAAUACCUGGGGCUGAUGACGGUACCGUAAGAAUAAGCACCGGCUAACUACGUG
This 491-nucleotide ribosomal RNA is filed under the name uncultured bacterium. RNAcentral's name for it is "partial 16S ribosomal RNA". It matches the Rfam family "Bacterial small subunit ribosomal RNA", at positions 30 to 507 of the family's 1533-position model. The record is from RNAcentral.